This 48-nucleotide transfer RNA is filed under the name Stenocranius gregalis (narrow-headed vole). RNAcentral describes it as "partial tRNA-Glu". Lineage: Eukaryota; Metazoa; Chordata; Mammalia; Rodentia; Cricetidae. The record is from RNAcentral.
GUUUCUAUAGUUGAAUAACAAYGGUGAUUUUUCAUGUCAUUGGUCWUA